RNAcentral lists this ribosomal RNA (497 nucleotides) under uncultured bacterium. Its description in RNAcentral is "partial 16S ribosomal RNA". It matches the Rfam family "Bacterial small subunit ribosomal RNA", at positions 28 to 507 of the family's 1533-position model. The record is from RNAcentral.
GAUGAACGCUGGCGGCGUGCCUAAUACAUGCAAGUCGAGCGAACAGACGAGGAGCUUGCUCCCCUGACGUUAGCGGCGGACGGGUGAGUAACACGUGGAUAACCUACCUAUAAGACUGGGAUAACUUCGGGAAACCGGAGCUACUACCGGAUAAUAUAUUGAACUGCAUGGUUCCAUAGUGAAAGACGGUUUUGCUGUCACUUAUAGAUGGAUCCGCGCCGCAUUAGUUAGUUGGUAAGGUAACGGCUUACCAAGGCAACGAUGCGUAGCCGACCUGAGAGGGUGAUCGGCCACACGGGAACUGAGACACGGUCCAGACUCCGACGGGAGGCAGCAGUAGAGAAUCUUCCGCAAUGGGCGAAAGCCUGACGGAGCAACGCCGCGUGAGUGAUGAAGGUCUUCGGAUCGUAAAACUCUGUUAUUAGGGAAGAACAAAUGUGUAAGUAACUAUGCACGUCUUGACGGUACCGAAUCAGAAAGCCACGGCUAACUACGUG